UGGGGGAUAUUGCACAAUGGGGGAAACCCUGAUGCAGCGACGCCGCGUGAGUGAAGAAGUAUUUCGGUAUGUAAAGCUCUAUCAGCAGGGAAGAAGAUGACAGUACCUGACUAAGAAGCCCCGGCUAACUACGUGCCAGCAGCCGCGGUAAUACGUAGGGGGCAAGCGUUAUCCGGAUUUACUGGGUGUAAAGGGAGCGUAGACGGUUAUGUAAGUCUGGAGUGAAAGCCCGGGGCCCAACCCGGGACUGCUUGGAACUGUGUAACUAGAGUACAGGAGGGGCAGGCGGAAUUGCCUGGUGUAGCGGUGAAAUGCGUAGAUAUCAGGAGGAACACCGGCGGCGAAGGCGGCCUGCUGGAGCUGAAACUGAACGUUGAGGCUCGAAAGCGUGGGGAGCAAACAGGAUUAGAUACCC
RNAcentral lists this ribosomal RNA (415 nucleotides) under uncultured bacterium. Its description in RNAcentral is "bacterial SSU rRNA". It matches the Rfam family "Bacterial small subunit ribosomal RNA", at positions 355 to 787 of the family's 1533-position model. The record is from RNAcentral.